UGGGGAAUAUUGCACAAUGGGCGCAAGCCUGAUGCAGCCAUGCCGCGUGUGUGAAGAAGGCCUUCGGGUUGUAAAGCACUUUCAGCGAGGAGGAAGGUGGUGAACUUAAUACGUUCAUCAAUUGACGUUACUCGCAGAAGAAGCACCGGCUAACUCCGUGCCAGCAGCCGCGGUAAUACGGAGGGUGCAAGCGUUAAUCGGAAUUACUGGGCGUAAAGCGCACGCAGGCGGUUUGUUAAGUCAGAUGUGAAAUCCCCGGGCUCAACCUGGGAACUGCAUUUGAAACUGGCAAGCUAGAGUCUCGUAGAGGGGGGUAGAAUUCCAGGUGUAGCGGUGAAAUGCGUAGAGAUCUGGAGGAAUACCGGUGGCGAAGGCGGCCCCCUGGACGAAGACUGACGCUCAGGUGCGAAAGCGUGGGGAGCGAACAGGAUUAGAUACCCUGGUAGUCCACGCUGUAAACGAUGUCGAUUUGGAGGUUGUGCCCUUGAGGCGUGGCUUCCGGAGCUAACGCGUUAAAUCGACCGCCUGGGGAGUACGGCCGCAAGGUUAAAAACUCAAAGGAAUUGACGGGGUCAUAGCUGUUUCCU
Molecule: ribosomal RNA, 587 nt
Filed under: uncultured bacterium
Lineage: Bacteria
Description: partial 16S ribosomal RNA
Rfam family: Bacterial small subunit ribosomal RNA
Source: RNAcentral